UGCGUAGGCGGCCCUUUAAGUCGGAUGUGAAAGCCCGCGGCUUAACCGCGGAAUGGCAUUCGAAACUGGAGGGCUUGAGUGUCGGAGAGGGUAGUGGAAUUCCCAGUGUAGCGGUGAAAUGCGUAGAUAUUGGGAGGAACACCAGUGGCGAAGGCGACUACCUGGACGAUAACUGACGCUGAGGCACGAAAGCUAGGGGAGCAAACA
RNAcentral lists this ribosomal RNA (207 nucleotides) under uncultured bacterium. Its description in RNAcentral is "partial 16S ribosomal RNA". It matches the Rfam family "Bacterial small subunit ribosomal RNA", at positions 568 to 774 of the family's 1533-position model. The record is from RNAcentral.